GAAACCAACAGGGAUUGCCCCAGUAACGGCGAGUGAAGCGGCAACAGCUCAAAUUUGAAAUCUGGCCCCUAGGGUCCGAGUUGUAAUUUGUAGAGGAUGCUUUUGGUGAGGUGCCGCCCGAGUUCCCUGGAACGGGACGCCACAGAGGGUGAGAGCCCCGUCUGGCUGGCCACCGAGCCUCUGUAAAGCUCCUUCGACGAGUCGAGUAGUUUGGGAAUGCUGCUCAAAAUGGGAGGUAUAUGUCUUCUAAAGCUAAAUAUUGGCCAGAGACCGAUAGCGCACAAGUAGAGUGAUCGAAAGAUGAAAAGCACCUUGAAAAGAGGGUUAAAUAGUACGUGAAAUUGUUGAAAGGGAAGCGCUUGUGACCAGACUUGGGCGCGGCGGAUCAUCCGGGGUUCUCUCCGGUGCACUUCGCCGCGUCUAGGCCAGCAUCAGUUCGUCGCGGGGGAAAAAGGCUUCGGGAACGUGGCUGCUCCGGCAGUGUUAUAGCCCGUUGCAUAAUACCCUGCGGUGGACUGAGGACCGCGCAUCUGCAAGGAUGCUGG
This 545-nucleotide ribosomal RNA is filed under the name Trichoderma velutinum. RNAcentral describes it as "eukaryotic LSU rRNA". It matches the Rfam family "Eukaryotic large subunit ribosomal RNA", at positions 61 to 629 of the family's 3401-position model. Lineage: Eukaryota; Fungi; Ascomycota; Sordariomycetes; Hypocreales; Hypocreaceae. The record is from RNAcentral.